CUCCUCCUUUCUGCAUUUCAGUCGAAAGACAGCGACUCCUGUCACAGUGCACUGCACGAAAAUAAUUUUUUAAAAAAACCUAUGUUCCAGGUUACUGAAUAACGGAAGCAAAUGAAGAGCUGCAAUUUGUAUGUGGCACCCCUCCCACUCUCCCUCGCUGUUGGCCCAGGGAAGAGAAGUCGGUGGAUUGCAAGAAUAACAGUAAAUUAUGCAAACCUCCACAUGCCACAAGAACCACUUUCUGGACUUUGGAAAGUGUCAUGCUCUCGGGGUAUCACACUCUGCUUUUUA
Long non-coding RNA from Suricata suricatta (meerkat), 291 nucleotides. RefSeq lists it as uncharacterized. The record is from RefSeq and is a predicted model, not a curated record. The transcript has 3 exons. NCBI's taxonomy places the organism in Eukaryota, Metazoa, Chordata, Mammalia, Carnivora, Herpestidae.